Molecule: microRNA, 20 nt
Filed under: Echinococcus granulosus
Lineage: Eukaryota; Metazoa; Platyhelminthes; Cestoda; Cyclophyllidea; Taeniidae
Description: egr-miR-10267-3p
Source: miRBase by way of RNAcentral
CAGAUCAAACCACCGCAGAC